GGGCACUAAUGCUUAUUGCACCACAUGUGUUUUUCUUUGAAACAAACUUGCUUUGGCGGUGGGCCCAGCCUGCCGCCAGAGGUCUAAACUUACAACCAAUUUUUUAUCAACUUGUCACACCAGAUUAUUACUUAAUAGUCAAAACUUUCAACAACGGAUCUCUUGGUUCUCGCAUCGAUGAAGAACGCAGCGAAAUGCGAUACGUAAUAUGAAUUGCAGAUAUUCGUGAAUCAUCGAAUCUUUGAACGCACAUUGCGCCCUCUGGUAUUCCGGAGGGCAUGCCUGUUUGAGCGUCGUUUCUCCCUCAAACCGCUGGGUUUGGUGUUGAGCAAUACGACUUGGGUUUGCUUGAAAGACGGUAGUGGUAAGGCGGGAUCGCUUUGACAAUGGCUUAGGUCUAACCAAAAACAUUGCUUGCGGCGGUAACGUCUACCACGUAUAUCUUCAAACUUUGACCUCAAAUCAGGUAGGACUACCCGCUGAACUUAAGCAUAUCAAAAGCCGGAGGAA
RNAcentral lists this ribosomal RNA (510 nucleotides) under Candida albicans. Its description in RNAcentral is "eukaryotic LSU rRNA". The stretch from base 143 to 296 matches the Rfam family "5.8S ribosomal RNA". Lineage: Eukaryota; Fungi; Ascomycota; Pichiomycetes; Serinales; Debaryomycetaceae. The record is from RNAcentral.